RNAcentral lists this ribosomal RNA (2902 nucleotides) under Escherichia coli EPEC11. Its description in RNAcentral is "bacterial LSU rRNA". It matches the Rfam family "Bacterial large subunit ribosomal RNA". Lineage: Bacteria; Pseudomonadati; Pseudomonadota; Gammaproteobacteria; Enterobacterales; Enterobacteriaceae. The record is from RNAcentral.
UUAAGCGACUAAGCGUACACGGUGGAUGCCCUGGCAGUCAGAGGCGAUGAAGGACGUGCUAAUCUGCGAUAAGCGUCGGUGAGGUGAUAUGAACCGUUAUAACCGGCGAUUUCCGAAUGGGGAAACCCAGUGUGAUUCGUCACACUAUCAUUAACUGAAUCCAUAGGUUAAUGAGGCGAACCGGGGGAACUGAAACAUCUAAGUACCCCGAGGAAAAGAAAUCAACCGAGAUUCCCCCAGUAGCGGCGAGCGAACGGGGAGGAGCCCAGAGCCUGAAUCAGUGUGUGUGUUAGUGGAAGCGUCUGGAAAGGCGCGCGAUACAGGGUGACAGCCCCGUACACAAAAAUGCACAUAUUGUGAGCUCGAUGAGUAGGGCGGGACACGUGGUAUCCUGUCUGAAUAUGGGGGGACCAUCCUCCAAGGCUAAAUACUCCUGACUGACCGAUAGUGAACCAGUACCGUGAGGGAAAGGCGAAAAGAACCCCGGCGAGGGGAGUGAAAAAGAACCUGAAACCGUGUACGUACAAGCAGUGGGAGCCUCUUAAUGGGGUGACUGCGUACCUUUUGUAUAAUGGGUCAGCGACUUAUAUUCUGUAGCAAGGUUAACCGAAUAGGGGAGCCGAAGGGAAACCGAGUCUUAACUGGGCGUUAAGUUGCAGGGUAUAGACCCGAAACCCGGUGAUCUAGCCAUGGGCAGGUUGAAGGUUGGGUAACACUAACUGGAGGACCGAACCGACUAAUGUUGAAAAAUUAGCGGAUGACUUGUGGCUGGGGGUGAAAGGCCAAUCAAACCGGGAGAUAGCUGGUUCUCCCCGAAAGCUAUUUAGGUAGCGCCUCGUGAAUUCAUCUCCGGGGGUAGAGCACUGUUUCGGCAAGGGGGUCAUCCCGACUUACCAACCCGAUGCAAACUGCGAAUACCGGAGAAUGUUAUCACGGGAGACACACGGCGGGUGCUAACGUCCGUCGUGAAGAGGGAAACAACCCAGACCGCCAGCUAAGGUCCCAAAGUCAUGGUUAAGUGGGAAACGAUGUGGGAAGGCCCAGACAGCCAGGAUGUUGGCUUAGAAGCAGCCAUCAUUUAAAGAAAGCGUAAUAGCUCACUGGUCGAGUCGGCCUGCGCGGAAGAUGUAACGGGGCUAAACCAUGCACCGAAGCUGCGGCAGCGACACUAUGUGUUGUUGGGUAGGGGAGCGUUCUGUAAGCCUGUGAAGGUGGCCUGUGAGGGUUGCUGGAGGUAUCAGAAGUGCGAAUGCUGACAUAAGUAACGAUAAAGCGGGUGAAAAGCCCGCUCGCCGGAAGACCAAGGGUUCCUGUCCAACGUUAAUCGGGGCAGGGUGAGUCGACCCCUAAGGCGAGGCCGAAAGGCGUAGUCGAUGGGAAACAGGUUAAUAUUCCUGUACUUGGUGUUACUGCGAAGGGGGGACGGAGAAGGCUAUGUUGGCCGGGCGACGGUUGUCCCGGUUUAAGCGUGUAGGCUGGUUUUCCAGGCAAAUCCGGAGAAUCAAGGCUGAGGCGUGAUGACGAGGCACUACGGUGCUGAAGCAACAAAUGCCCUGCUUCCAGGAAAAGCCUCUAAGCAUCAGGUAACAUCAAAUCGUACCCCAAACCGACACAGGUGGUCAGGUAGAGAAUACCAAGGCGCUUGAGAGAACUCGGGUGAAGGAACUAGGCAAAAUGGUGCCGUAACUUCGGGAGAAGGCACGCUGAUAUGUAGGUGAAGCGACUUGCUCGUGGAGCUGAAAUCAGUCGAAGAUACCAGCUGGCUGCAACUGUUUAUUAAAAACACAGCACUGUGCAAACACGAAAGUGGACGUAUACGGUGUGACGCCUGCCCGGUGCCGGAAGGUUAAUUGAUGGGGUUAGCGGCAACGCGAAGCUCUUGAUCGAAGCCCCGGUAAACGGCGGCCGUAACUAUAACGGUCCUAAGGUAGCGAAAUUCCUUGUCGGGUAAGUUCCGACCUGCACGAAUGGCGUAAUGAUGGCCAGGCUGUCUCCACCCGAGACUCAGUGAAAUUGAACUCGCUGUGAAGAUGCAGUGUACCCGCGGCAAGACGGAAAGACCCCGUGAACCUUUACUAUAGCUUGACACUGAACAUUGAGCCUUGAUGUGUAGGAUAGGUGGGAGGCUUUGAAGUGUGGACGCCAGUCUGCAUGGAGCCGGCCUUGAAAUACCACCCUUUAAUGUUUGAUGUUCUAACGUGGGCCCCUAAUCGGGGUUGCGGACAGUGUCUGGUGGGUAGUUUGACUGGGGCGGUCUCCUCCUAAAGAGUAACGGAGGAGCACGAAGGUUGGCUAAUCCUGGUCGGACAUCAGGAGGUUAGUGCAAUGGCAUAAGCCAGCUUGACUGCGAGCGUGACGGCGCGAGCAGGUGCGAAAGCAGGUCAUAGUGAUCCGGUGGUUCUGAAUGGAAGGGCCAUCGCUCAACGGAUAAAAGGUACUCCGGGGAUAACAGGCUGAUACCGCCCAAGAGUUCAUAUCGACGGCGGUGUUUGGCACCUCGAUGUCGGCUCAUCACAUCCUGGGGCUGAAGUAGGUCCCAAGGGUAUGGCUGUUCGCCAUUUAAAGUGGUACGCGAGCUGGGUUUAGAACGUCGUGAGACAGUUCGGUCCCUAUCUGCCGUGGGCGCUGGAGAACUGAGGGGGGCUGCUCCUAGUACGAGAGGACCGGAGUGGACGCAUCACUGGUGUUCGGGUUGUCAUGCCAAUGGCACUGCCCGGUAGCUAAAUGCGGAAGAGAUAAGUGCUGAAAGCAUCUAAGCACGAAACUUGCCCCGAGAUGAGUUCUCCCUGACCCUUUAAGGGUCCUGAAGGAACGUUGAAGACGACGACGUUGAUAGGCCGGGUGUGUAAGCGCAGCGAUGCGUUGAGCUAACCGGUACUAAUGAACCGUGAGGCUUAACCUU